GAUGAACGCUGGCGGCGUGCUUAACACAUGCAAGUCGAACGAAGCAUUUAGAACAGAUUACUUCGGUUUGAAGUUCUUUAUGACUGAGUGGCGGACGGGUGAGUAACGCGUGGGUAACCUGCCUUGUACUGGGGGAUAGCAGCUGGAAACGGCUGGUAAUACCGCAUAAGCGCACAAUGUUGCAUGACAUGGUGUGAAAAACUCCGGUGGUAUAAGAUGGACCCGCGUCUGAUUAGCUAGUUGGUGAGAUAACAGCCCACAAAGGCGACGAUCAGUAGCCGACCUGAGAGGGUGACCGGCCACGUUGGGACUGAGACACGGCCCAGACUCCUACGGGAGGCAGCAGUGGGGAAUAUUGCACAAUGGAGGAAACUCUGAUGCAGCGACGCCGCGUGAGUGAAGAAGUAAUUCGUUAUGUAAAGCUCUAUCAGCAGGGAAGAUAGUGACGGUACCUGACUAAGAAGCUCCGGCUAAAUACGUGCCAGCAGCCGCCGUAA
This 497-nucleotide ribosomal RNA is filed under the name uncultured bacterium. RNAcentral's name for it is "partial 16S ribosomal RNA". It matches the Rfam family "Bacterial small subunit ribosomal RNA", at positions 28 to 523 of the family's 1533-position model. The record is from RNAcentral.